CUUCGCCUGGCACCUCCCCCGGCUCCGCCCCGCGGGAGUGUUUGCCCACGUUCUAGAGCGCUGAUUGGCCCUUCGGCUCAGGGGGCGGAGCUCGCGGCAGGCGCGGUGCGUACUUCCGGCCGCCGGGUUGACCUGAGGAAGCAGCGGCGGGGGCGGCGGAAGCGGCUGAGGUCUGCCUUUGCAGCGGGACCUGCGGCUGAACGCUGGACGCGGCCCGGGACGGCAGACGGCGCAGUGAGCCGCGGAGGAGGCGCGGCAGCAGCCCGCGUUCCUCAUGGAGAUGGAAAGGGAGUUCAGCAGAUCGACGAGGCCGGGCACUGGGCGGCCGUUUACCAGUCUCAGUGCGUGUCGAGUCCCAAGAACGGCAGAGUCCCGGUCCCCCUUCCUGUUCAUUCAUUUGAUGAUGGGAAUUGGCGUGUCGCUGCGGAGCUUGGUACUGCCCUGGGCGCUGGAGAGUGUUGAAUCCUAUUAUCCUUCACGGAGCUUGGAGUCGAAUAAGCGGUCCGGCAAACACAAGUAAUUUCAGAUGGUGACAGGCCUUGUGAAGAAAAGAAAACGUUGCAGCGGGGUAGAGAGCCGCUGGAUGGAAGGUGGGUUACCUGUGUGAGGGGCAUCGCCCACGGUUUGUCAGAGGAGGAGACGUUUGCUCUGAGCAGAGUGAGGAGGAGCAGCAAACCAUAAGACUGUCAGGCCAGAGUUUUCCUACGAGGAGGCCUGCAAUACCUCCCUCCUUCGUGGCUAAAAUAUUGCCCUUUCAGUCAGGGACUAUGGAACCUUAACGUUUUAUCCUCAGUAAAUCGCGUCUUUCCCCAGCUUUGCUCUUUGGUCUUGGCUGAGAUCUAUCUUUGAGUCCUCAUCUACUUUGGAUUGUGGUGGGACAUAAAUUAAAAAUAAGCAAGGUAGGGUUUCUCGCAUAUCUCCAAAGCAUCAGAUUAAAUACCCCAGUAGGUCUGUUUUCAGGAAGCUAAAUCCUCUAAAGAAAAUAUGUGCUCCCGAUUAAAUGUCAUGCGGGGGUUGUGAGGAUUAACCAAAACCACACUCUCUAUCUUAAGUAAAGAACAGAAUAGAGA
This 1070-nucleotide long non-coding RNA is filed under the name Dasypus novemcinctus (nine-banded armadillo). RNAcentral's name for it is "lncRNA (ENSDNOG00000050671.1)". Lineage: Eukaryota; Metazoa; Chordata; Mammalia; Cingulata; Dasypodidae. The record is from RNAcentral.